UGUUUUCCGUAGGUGAACUGCGAGGAUCAUCCAGUCUAU
This 39-nucleotide ribosomal RNA is filed under the name Pollicipes pollicipes. Its description in RNAcentral is "partial 18S ribosomal RNA". Lineage: Eukaryota; Metazoa; Arthropoda; Thecostraca; Pollicipedomorpha; Pollicipedidae. The record is from RNAcentral.